Molecule: ribosomal RNA, 244 nt
Filed under: uncultured Staphylococcus sp.
Lineage: Bacteria; Bacillati; Bacillota; Bacilli; Caryophanales; Staphylococcaceae
Description: partial 16S ribosomal RNA
Rfam family: Bacterial small subunit ribosomal RNA
Source: RNAcentral
CGGCGGACGGGUGAGUAACACGUGGAUAACCUACCUAUAAGACUGGGAUAACUUCGGGAAACCGGAGCUAAUACCGGAUAAUAUAUUGAACCGCAUGGUUCAAUAGUGAAAGACGGUUUUGCUGUCACUUAUAGAUGGAUCCGCGCCGAAUUAGCUAGUUGGUAAGGUAACGGCUUACCAAGGCAACGAUGCGUAGCCGACCUGAGAGGGUGAUCGGCCACACUGGAACUGAGACACGGUCCAG